CCCUCCAGUCCGGCUCCGGAUCGCGGUUGCCCAGCGCGCUGUUCCCUGCCGGGGGCGGGCCACGUUUGAUCUCCGGGCCCGCAGCGAGGGAUCGCGAAGGUAUUGAUCUAGGUGCUGCUGUGAAGGGAAUUUGCAGAUGUAAUUGGCCUAAAUCAGUUGGCUUUAAUAUCAGGAAAUUGUCCUCAGUGGGCAUGGCCAUAUGGAGCCCUUACAAGGGACUGGGCUCUUACUGGUGAAAAAGAUUUGAAUCACGAGAGUGGCUGAUACGAGGGAAAUUCUUUGCUGUUGCCUUCGAAGACAGAAGAGGUCCACAAGACAAAGGAUGCAGACAGCCUCUAGGAGCUGAGACUGGCUCCUGGCUGACAGCCAGCAAGGAAAUGAGGACCUCAGUCCUUCAAUCAUGAAGCAGACACCGACUUCUGCUAACAACCUGAAUACACUUCAAAGAGGAUUGUGAGCUCCAGCCGCCUACACAUUGAUUUCAGCAGUUGGGACCCUCAGCCGAGAACCCAGCUAUGCCGUGCCCAGAUUUAAGACCGACACAUCUGUGAGCUUGUAAGUGUGUGUUGCUUUAAGCUGCUAAGUUUGUGGUAAUAUGUUUCACUGCAAUAUAAAACUAAUACUUCUGUGUGC
Molecule: non-coding RNA, 633 nt
Filed under: Pongo abelii (Sumatran orangutan)
Lineage: Eukaryota; Metazoa; Chordata; Mammalia; Primates; Hominidae
Source: RNAcentral